UGGGGAAUAUUGGACAAUGGGCGAAAGCCUGAUCCAGCCAUGCCGCGUGUGUGAAGAAGGUCUUCGGAUUGUAAAGCACUUUAAGUUGGGAGGAAGGGCAUUAACCUAAUACGUUAGUGUUUUGACGUUACCGACAGAAUAAGCACCGGCUAACUCUGUGCCAGCAGCCGCGGUAAUACAGAGGGUGCAAGCGUUAAUCGGAAUUACUGGGCGUAAAGCGCGCGUAGGUGGUUUGUUAAGUUGGAUGUGAAAUCCCCGGGCUCAACCUGGUAACUGCAUUCAAAACUGAAUGACUAGAGUAUGGUAGAGGGUGGUGGAAUUUCCUGUGUAGCGGUGAAAUGCGUAGAUAUAGGAAGGAACACCAGUGGCGAAGGCGACCACCUGGACUAAUACUGACACUGAGGUGCGAAAGCGUGGGGAGCAAACA
RNAcentral lists this ribosomal RNA (427 nucleotides) under uncultured bacterium. RNAcentral's name for it is "partial 16S ribosomal RNA". It matches the Rfam family "Bacterial small subunit ribosomal RNA", at positions 355 to 774 of the family's 1533-position model. The record is from RNAcentral.